AGUGCACUCAGCGAGACAGAUGCACAUCCUGUGGACCUUUAUCCCACGUCCAGCUUGAAUCCAUGGGCACCAGUUUUCCACAGGUAAAAUGUGGCAUCUGUCGGUGUAAAAAGGAUUUUGGAUUCUCCACCCACACUGAAGCAGAGCGGAUGUGGCUGAAUCUCUUCGUCAUGAGGGAUUUUGCCAUCUUCUCUAGUGCGCAUGUGAAAGGGAAGUACUGACAAAGGAUGUUAAUCCUGAACACAUACGGUGUGGUGUGUCGUCUUCCGGAGCCUUGCUGCGAUUGGUCCAUUUGCUUUUAAAUUUCUGAGGGUGCUGCGUUCUGUGGAGAGACCUGCUGACAAUGAGAGUAUAGUGCUGCUGCCGGAGUGAGAUGUGAAGUUUAGUUUCCAGUUGUGUGGCAGCGCAAUGUUGCAGGAAAGGUGGUAUAACUUCCUGUGAACGCACUUGAUUGCUACGAGCGUGUGCACUCGGGACGGCGGCAGUCGUUCUGGACGGGCUGUGUGAUAAGUAAGCCCGGCGUGGCAACUGUUGACGUGGCGUGUCUGCGUUGCUAUGGCAGAACUGGGGCGAUUGACUUAACUCAAGUUGGUGCUGGUGGCAACCUGUCACCAAAUGCUUGUCUGCCUUCUGGACUAACGGUGAGAAUUUCUUGACUUGAUGUCUCACUCAGUUUAUGACCGUGUCAAAGUGUGUGUUUUGCUCUAAGGUCGUGUGCCAUGGUGUUUCACAAUUUUAGUAGGCUCAGGCAUGCCCAAAAUCCCGAUUCAAUGAUCUGAUGUUAUAUAGUCAAGUGUAACUAUCACUAGAAAAGUGUGUUUACUCUCUGUGCCUUAAUAACUGAACUUAAAAUAUUAUCUGUGGUUGAAAUUUUAUUCUGACCCAAGUGCAAUAACGAUCUUGUAUUUUACAAUUUCUUGAGUGGCAUUAUUUAGUACUGGCUGUCACAUUUACUAAGUCAAAGAUUUACGAAGGCCAGUGGGCAUUAUUAACAGUUCCUGCCUAGAGAGGCGUUAUAUUUUGAACCAUGUGUUUCAAUGUUAAGUAAUUUUUAUUUUAUGUGUUAUAGAGAGUUGCUGUCAUGCCCUGUGUGGACGAUUCACCAUGUUGGUGAAGUUUCUAAUUGUUAUGCUGGUCUGUGCCAUAUUGCUAAAACAGGCGGUCCUAGCACAGCUGAUAGUAAAUGUUUCCUAGUGGUGAGGAGCACGGGCUGGUUUUUGAAGUGCUAACUCACUAACUUCAACCAUUCUCAAAUAUUUAUUACUACUGAUAUUCAGGCCCUUCAGGCUGAAUGGCGACAUCACUACCCCGUUUUGGUUAUUAAUUUUAUCUUGUUAGCUUGUUUCAUUAAAAAAAAAACCCUUUGGUAUAUGAAUUUGUCUGUUAGUCUUUACUGCUCCUUUGGACGAAGUAAAUUAACUGUUGCCUGCUUACCUUACGUUUUGGUUCAGUUUUCCCAUACCAUUACGUAUCAGUGAUCAGUAUAUUAUGGUUAUCUUAUUCUGUAGAACCUUCAGAAGUGGUGCUACCAGCCUCUGCCAGUUUAGAGCCACUCCUGAAAGUCACUGACUGCUGAACUUGAGAAGGGCUAUUAAUUGAACCAAAUGUCUGGAUUCACUUUGAACUUGCUCUUCUAGCAGUAAUGAUACUCAUGAUUAGUCAUUUGCAUCAAUAAUCAUUAAGAUUAUCAGUAUGUCGUGUUCCUCAUCAGCUCUGUUCAUUGAAAUGCCAGAGCCAAAUUAACUUGGUUAUCAGAAACUAUAUGUGGGAUUCAGUGUGUAAUAGUACUGUGCAAGCUUACUAAUUUCUCCUUUUUCAUGGUUGUGGUGACAGACCAAUCCAUAGUGCAGACCCAGGUAUAGAGAAGGUUGAAAGGUGAAAAAAUUGUUGCACAGCCAACAAUUCUGAUAUGGAAGUAAUGAUUGUGUUUACAAAUUGCAAAUUGGUUUGUAACAUAGCUUGAUGUCUACAUUUAUGCCAUAUCCAAUGCACUGUUCAUUAUGAAAACUGAAACUGUCAGGUGAAUUGAGAAAACCUGUAUGGAGUAGAAGAAGAGUUCCCGAGAAGUAUUUUGGUGGAUGUACAUAGGUCAUGCAUAAACUCAAGGAGGGGUUGGCAAUCACUUUCAACCCCUUGUAGGAAGAAAUUGCAAUUUAUUUAAGGGCAAUUUGUUAACAACAUGAAAUUUAGUAUAACACUGUUCAUACCCUCUGGUAUUGUAAUACUAGGUCCAUUUCUUUCACUUUUGCUGUUUCUGCUACAAAUGCACGGACAGAUGAAUGCAUUGGUGCAAUAACCAUAUAAGUUACAUUUUUCAUACUUCCAAGUAAAGCACUAAUCUCUGAAAUAGAAGAACUUCAUUAACUGGUGUUGUCUUCAUCCAACCUUAUUUAGACUACCAACACAAUUAUAAUAGCCUACCAUAUAACCAAAGAUUUAUCAUAUUUAUUGAAUUGAAGAAAUUGGACUAGUAUCGUUUUUACACCAAAAAGUUCUGUUUAAUGUUCAAAAAUUAAAGUAACUGAAACAACUAUUGGCACUUGAAAGUUUACUGAAUAUUGUGAGCAGUAUGUGGCUUGAAAAGAAUUGGUACCCUAGUGGAAUCAUAAGUAUGUAUGAUACACAAGUUCAUUAUGCUUCUCUUUCUGACAAACUGUAAGUGGCAUCUGUAACUGUUGUCGCAGAUGACCUUGUCAUAUAAUCCAUGUCUGAUGCAGGAAAGUUCUUAUUCAGCCUCAUGAUCUGUUUCUGUUUGAUUUAACUAGCAGAGGCACUUCCUAAAUGCCCUUCUCAGGCAAUGCAGCUGAGCCAUCCUGAAUGAUGAAAUCGUGAUUGACAGAUUGUCAUAAUGAAGCACUACAGCAAACUAGAAGCUUAUUUGCAAUGGAGUACUUACAGACCUUUUAUUUUGGAAAAGUAAACUUCUUAGUGUUAAGCUGAUACAGCAGUUUUGAGGGAGACGAGAAGUGUAAAACUACAUCUUGUGUAACAUCAACCACAGAGAACUCCUUGGAUGUAUUUCACGUUCCAGAAUGGCUACUGUUUGUUGCAGUGACAGUGCAAGCUAUUGAAAUGUCUGGUUCUUGCCCCAAAGAUCCAGUGUCAAAAACUCCAUUGCCUGUGCUACUCUGAAUUUUAAAUGCAGAGGUCUCAAUUUUGCGUCAUGUGAUGGAGCGAUUUUCAACGAUUUAGUGGUAUUAAAAUCGUAUUUUUGGCCAAAACUGUACAUUUCUGGCUAAUGCACAAAUGCCUUCAUGAAAAGGGAGAUGGUCAAAUUUCGGAGGCAAGUGAUACUAAGGUAUGAAUACAUUACAUUUAUAACAGGUUGCAAAGAUAGGUACCAAGAAACAGUUUGAAAGAACUUUUGGAUUAUGUAAGCAAAUUGUAAUUAAAAGGUAUGGUAUAGUACUCAAAUAUUCAUGUAC
Long non-coding RNA from Schistocerca nitens (vagrant locust), 3425 nucleotides. RefSeq lists it as uncharacterized. The record is from RefSeq and is a predicted model, not a curated record. The transcript is spliced from 3 exons. NCBI's taxonomy places the organism in Eukaryota, Metazoa, Arthropoda, Insecta, Orthoptera, Acrididae.